RNAcentral lists this ribosomal RNA (98 nucleotides) under Meriones unguiculatus (Mongolian gerbil). Lineage: Eukaryota; Metazoa; Chordata; Mammalia; Rodentia; Muridae. The record is from RNAcentral.
AAUCACGGCCAUACCAUCCUGAACUCGCCCGAUCUCCUCUGAUCUCGGAAGCUAAGCAGGGUCGGGCCUGGUUAGUACUUGGAUAGGAGCUAUGGUUU